AAGUGUUCCCAUGUUCUGCGGACGCCAAAAUAAGACAGAUUUGGGGAGUUUACUCUAUUAUUUUACCGUAAAUCUUUGAAAUUCUGGAACUAAUUAUAUAGAGGAUAUGUCUCAAUUUGUUCUGCAUUAAUGCCACAUUGGGAAUGGAGUCAGGGCCACAGCCAGAGCACAUACUCGAGCACAUGAAAUUGAUGAACUGAGACUUGCUGCUAGUCCCGAACACACCAUCUGGAAUUCCAGUCUGAGGUUACAAUUAGAACUUCUGACCCCAAAUUCAACUUUGCGGAGAAG
Unclassified non-coding RNA from Chelonoidis abingdonii (Abingdon island giant tortoise), 291 nucleotides. The record is from Ensembl. Lineage: Eukaryota; Metazoa; Chordata; Testudines; Testudinidae.